CACACAGGGCACUGCUAGCCGGUGCACGACCCUCAAGGCUCUGGUCCAGAGACGCUCCAUGAGAAAAGCUUGAAAGUUCCACUACAAGAGGGAAAAGCAACGCAGUAUCUAUAUAGAGAGACGAGUGUGUCCGCAGAAGAAACGGCUGGGAGAGAUCAACGCAGUUUUCUCUUGGGAACAAGCCUUGCGGUGUGGAUGUAGACUUCCUGAUCCUGCCUGCCUGAUGACAUGGCCAUGUCGUGGCACAUCCGGUCAUCCUCAGCUGAAGACGUGAGAGACUCCUGAAGAAGGCUCAUGGGUUUGCUCGUUGGUUCUUCUCCUCCGGUUUCCCCCCAUUCACCCUGGUGGAUCCAGCGGAGUGUGUAAAUUACAAGUCACCCCUGCCCCGUUAGAUAAGGCUGGUCUGCGUUCCUGAGGUUCUUUAG
Molecule: long non-coding RNA, 425 nt
Organism: Neogale vison (American mink)
Lineage: Eukaryota; Metazoa; Chordata; Mammalia; Carnivora; Mustelidae
Exons: 3
Source: RefSeq, a predicted model, not a curated record